GGUUCCAUGGCGUAGCGGUUAGCACAUCUGCCUUACACGCAGAAGAUCCUGGGUUCGAUUCCCAGUGGAACCA
This 73-nucleotide transfer RNA is filed under the name Felis catus (domestic cat). Its description in RNAcentral is "tRNA-Val (TAC) (tRNA-Val-TAC-5-1)". It matches the Rfam family "tRNA". Rfam says of the family: Transfer RNA (tRNA) molecules are approximately 80 nucleotides in length. Their secondary structure includes four short double-helical elements and three loops (D, anti-codon, and T loops). Lineage: Eukaryota; Metazoa; Chordata; Mammalia; Carnivora; Felidae. The record is from Rfam by way of RNAcentral.